AAAUGGAAUGGCUCUCUUAGUUACGCUGUGCCCCGACCCGAGUCCCCACGUCCGCUUUUAUCCGCCCGCAACCCGGCCAACACAACAUUAGGGCCGUCCCCCCCAUUCUAUGCUGACCCGGGCCGGGGCUCGCUUUUUGGGAAGCCCGUUCCCACCGCGUGUUGGAAAUAUGCCCUAGAGGCAAUAAUAAAAGUAUUAUUAUUAAAUUUCCUUGUUCAUGAUAAUUGUCUUUUAUUCAUGCUAUAA
Molecule: ribosomal RNA, 246 nt
Filed under: Triticum aestivum (bread wheat)
Lineage: Eukaryota; Viridiplantae; Streptophyta; Magnoliopsida; Poales; Poaceae
Description: partial small subunit ribosomal RNA
Source: RNAcentral